AGGUUUUUGUUCUGUACGUAGGCAUAAUUCUAGGCAUAAUUAUGAAUCGUGCAUGCCAUCUACGGUACGGUAGGUGGUAUCUUUAGAAGAUUUUAUUUUCCU
Regulatory RNA element from Drosophila sechellia, 102 nucleotides. It matches the Rfam family "R2 RNA element", at positions 90 to 204 of the family's 212-position model. From Rfam's summary of the family: This family represents the 3' UTR region of the R2 retrotransposable element. This family is known to interact with the R2-encoded reverse transcriptase in a reaction known as target primed reverse transcription (TPRT). The record is from Rfam. Lineage: Eukaryota; Metazoa; Arthropoda; Insecta; Diptera; Drosophilidae.